RNAcentral lists this ribosomal RNA (460 nucleotides) under uncultured bacterium. RNAcentral describes it as "partial 16S ribosomal RNA". It matches the Rfam family "Bacterial small subunit ribosomal RNA", at positions 338 to 795 of the family's 1533-position model. The record is from RNAcentral.
CCUACGGGAGGCUGCAGUGAGGAAUAUUGGUCAAUGGCCGUAAGGCUGAACCAGCCAAGCCGCGUGAAGGAAGAAGGAUCUAUGGUUUGUAAACUUCUUUUAUAGGGGAGUAAAGGUAUCCACGUGUGGAUAUUUGCAUGUACCCUAUGAAUAAGCAUCGGCUAACUCCGUGCCAGCAGCCGCGGUAAUACGGAGGAUGCGAGCGUUAUCCGGAUUUAUUGGGUUUAAAGGGUGCGUAGGUUGUUUGUUAAGUCAGCGGUGAAAGUUUGUGGCUUAACGAGGGAAUUGCCGUUGAAACUGGAAGACUAGAGUGUGUAUGAGGUAGGCGGAAUGCGUGGUGUAGCGGUGAAAUGCUUAGAGAUCACGCAGAACACCGAUUGCGAAGGCAGCUUACUAAUCCAUAACUGACGCUGAGGCACGAAAGCGUGGGGAUCAAACAGGAUUAGAUACCCUUGUAGUC